CUCGGUGGUCAUAGCGAAGGGGAAACACCCGGUCCCAUUCCGAACCCGGAAGUUAAGCCCUUCAGCGCCGAUGGUACUGCGCGGGGGACCGCGUGGGAGAGUAGGACGCCGCCGGAC
RNAcentral lists this ribosomal RNA (117 nucleotides) under Streptosporangiaceae bacterium. Lineage: Bacteria; Bacillati; Actinomycetota; Actinomycetes; Streptosporangiales; Streptosporangiaceae. The record is from RNAcentral.